This 253-nucleotide ribosomal RNA is filed under the name uncultured bacterium. RNAcentral's name for it is "partial 16S ribosomal RNA". It matches the Rfam family "Bacterial small subunit ribosomal RNA", at positions 524 to 776 of the family's 1533-position model. The record is from RNAcentral.
UACGUAGGGCGCAAGCGUUGUCCGGAAUUAUUGGGCGUAAAGAGCUCGUAGGCGGUUUGUCGCGUCUGCUGUGAAAACCUCAGGCUCAACCUGGGGCUUGCAGUGGGUACGGGCAGACUAGAGUGCGGUAGGGGUGACUGGAAUUCCUGGUGUAGCGGUGGAAUGCGCAGAUAUCAGGAGGAACACCGGUGGCGAAGGCGGGUCUCUGGGCCGAUACUGACGCUGAGGAGCGAAAGCGUGGGGAGCGAACAGG